UCAAACUGAAGAUGGCGACCGGCGCACGGGUGAGUAACACGUAUCCAACCUGCCGAUAACUCCGGAAUAGCCUUUUGAAAGAAAGAUUAAUACCGGAUAGUAUACGAAUAUCGCAUGAUAUUUUUAUUAAAGAAUUUCGGUUAUCGAUGGGGAUGCGUUCCAUUAGUUUGUUGGCGGGGUAACGGCCCACCAAAACUACGAUGGAUAGGGGUUCUGAGAGGAAGGUCCCCCACAUUGGAACUGAGACACGGUCCAA
Molecule: ribosomal RNA, 256 nt
Filed under: uncultured bacterium
Lineage: Bacteria
Description: partial 16S ribosomal RNA
Rfam family: Bacterial small subunit ribosomal RNA
Source: RNAcentral